Molecule: ribosomal RNA, 328 nt
Filed under: uncultured Glomus
Lineage: Eukaryota; Fungi; Glomeromycota; Glomeromycetes; Glomerales; Glomeraceae
Description: SSU rRNA
Rfam family: Eukaryotic small subunit ribosomal RNA
Source: RNAcentral
GUGCUCCAGGCAGGCCUAUGCUCGAAUACAUUAGCAUGGAAUAAUAGAAUAGGACGUGCGGUUCUAUUUUGUUGGUUUCUAGGACCGCCGUAAUGAUUAAUAGGGAUAGUUAGGGGCAUUAGUAUUCAAUUAUCAGAGGUGAAAUUCUUGGAUUUAUUGAAGACUAACUAUUGCGAAAGCAUUUGCCAAGGAUGUUUUCAUUAAUCAGGAACGAAAGUUAGGGGAUCGAAGACGAUCAGAUACCGUCGUAGUCUUAACCAUAAACUAUGCCGACUGGGGAUCGGAUGAUGUUAAUUUUUAAUGACUCAUUCGGCGCCUUACGGGAAAC